This 235-nucleotide ribosomal RNA is filed under the name Leptospira weilii. RNAcentral's name for it is "partial 16S ribosomal RNA". It matches the Rfam family "Bacterial small subunit ribosomal RNA", at positions 126 to 361 of the family's 1533-position model. Lineage: Bacteria; Pseudomonadati; Spirochaetota; Leptospiria; Leptospirales; Leptospiraceae. The record is from RNAcentral.
CUUCCUCCGAGUCUGGGAUAACUUUCCGAAAGGGGAGCUAAUACUGGAUGGUCCCGAGAGGUCAUAUGAUUUUUCGGGUAAAGAUUUAUUGCUCGGAGCUGAGCCCGCGCCCGAUUAGCUAGUUGGUGAGGUAAUGGCUCACCAAGGCGACRAUCGGUAGCCGGCCUGAGAGGGUGUUCGGCCACAAUGGAACUGAGACACGGUCCAUACUCCUACGGGAGGCAGCAGUUAAGAA